This 93-nucleotide small nucleolar RNA is filed under the name Sclerotinia borealis F-4128. RNAcentral's name for it is "A. fumigatus snoRNA Afu_264". It matches the Rfam family "A. fumigatus snoRNA Afu_264". The record is from Rfam by way of RNAcentral. Lineage: Eukaryota; Fungi; Ascomycota; Leotiomycetes; Helotiales; Sclerotiniaceae.
CUAAAUGAUGAGACAUUAUUUUUUACUUUUUCUGGUACCUCUUGAUUUAGAAACCUCUGCGGAGGGGACGAUGAUCUUAACGGACUUCUGAUU